Molecule: unclassified non-coding RNA, 140 nt
Filed under: soil metagenome
Description: partial internal transcribed spacer 1
Source: RNAcentral
CCUAGAGUUGUAGGCUUUGCCUGCCAUCUCUUACCCAUGUCUUUUGAGUACCUUACGUUUCCUCGGUGGGUUCGCCCACCGAUUGGACAAACUUAAACCCUUUGCAGUUGAAAUCAGCGUCUGAAAAAACUUAAUAGUUA